GGGAAUGUGGCUCAGUGGCAGAGUGCUUGCCUAACAUGCAUGAAGCCCAGGGUUCGAUUCCCCAGUACCA
This 70-nucleotide transfer RNA is filed under the name Dipodomys ordii (Ord's kangaroo rat). It matches the Rfam family "tRNA". From Rfam's summary of the family: Transfer RNA (tRNA) molecules are approximately 80 nucleotides in length. The record is from Rfam by way of RNAcentral. Lineage: Eukaryota; Metazoa; Chordata; Mammalia; Rodentia; Heteromyidae.